CCUACGGGUGGCAGCAGUGAGGAAUAUUGGUCAAUGGCCGUAAGGCUGAACCAGCCAAGUAGCGUGAAGGAUGACUGCCAUAUGGGUUGUAAACUUCUUUUAUAUGGGAAUAAAACGUUCCACGUGUGGGAUUUUGUAUGUACCAUAUGAAUAAGGAUCGGCUAACUCCGUGCCAGCAGCCGCGGUAAUACUGAGGAUCCGAGCGUUAUCCGGAUUUAUUGGGUUUAAAGGGAGCGUAGGUGGAUUGUUAAGUCAGGUGUGAAAGUUUGCGGCUCAACCGUAAAAUUGCAGUUGAAACUGGCAGUCUUGAGUGCAGUAGAGGUGGGCGGAAUUCGUGGUGUAGCGGUGAAAUGCAUAGAUAUCACGCAGAACUCCGAUUGCGAAGGCAGCAUACCGGCGCUCAACUGACGCUCAUGCACGAAAGUGUGGGUAUCGAACAGGAUUAGAUACCCCUGUAGUC
RNAcentral lists this ribosomal RNA (460 nucleotides) under uncultured bacterium. Its description in RNAcentral is "partial 16S ribosomal RNA". It matches the Rfam family "Bacterial small subunit ribosomal RNA", at positions 338 to 795 of the family's 1533-position model. The record is from RNAcentral.